This 485-nucleotide ribosomal RNA is filed under the name uncultured bacterium. RNAcentral describes it as "partial 16S ribosomal RNA". It matches the Rfam family "Bacterial small subunit ribosomal RNA", at positions 28 to 523 of the family's 1533-position model. The record is from RNAcentral.
GACGAACGCUGGCGGCGUGCUUAACACAUGCAAGUCGAACAAUGAAAGCUGGAGCUUGCUCCGGCUGGAUUAGUGGCGAACGGGUGAGUAACACGUGAGCAAUCUGCCCUUGACUCUGGGAUAACUCCGAGAAAUCGGUGCUAAUACCGGAGAUGACCCUUGGCGGCAUCGCUGGGGGUGGAAAGUUUUUCGGUCAAGGAUGAGCUCGCGGCCUAUCAGCUUGUUGGUGAGGUAAUGGCUCACCAAGGCGACGACGGGUAGCCGGCCUGAGAGGGUGACCGGCCACACUGGGACUGAGACACGGCCCAGACUCCUACGGGAGGCAGCAGUGGGGAAUAUUGCACAAUGGGCGCAAGCCUGAUGCAGCAACGCCGCGUGGGGGAUGACGGCCUUCGGGUUGUAAACCUCUUUUAGCAGGGAAGAAGCGAAAGUGACGGUACCUGCAGAAAAAGCACCGGCUAACUACGUGCCAGCCGCCGCAGUAA